CUACCCCUCUGGCUGUGAAACAGCUCCCCAGACAGAGUCACAGAAAACUGGGAGGAGCCCAGCUACAGAAAGGUUGCCAUUGCCAGCUCCAUUUGAUGCUGCCUUGGGACAAGGUGAAUGCUUGACUUCCUGAUUACAAUGAA
This is a long non-coding RNA of Corapipo altera (White-ruffed manakin), 143 nucleotides long. RefSeq lists it as uncharacterized. The record is from RefSeq and is a predicted model, not a curated record. The transcript has 3 exons. NCBI's taxonomy places the organism in Eukaryota, Metazoa, Chordata, Aves, Passeriformes, Pipridae.